Molecule: ribosomal RNA, 465 nt
Filed under: uncultured Klebsiella sp.
Lineage: Bacteria; Pseudomonadati; Pseudomonadota; Gammaproteobacteria; Enterobacterales; Enterobacteriaceae
Description: bacterial SSU rRNA
Rfam family: Bacterial small subunit ribosomal RNA
Source: RNAcentral
CCUACGGGAGGCAGCAGUGGGGAAUAUUGCACAAUGGGCGCAAGCCUGAUGCAGCCAUGCCGCGUGUGUGAAGAAGGCCUUCGGGUUGUAAAGCACUUUCAGCGGGGAGGAAGGCGGUGAGGUUAAUAACCUCAUCGAUUGACGUUACCCGCAGAAGAAGCACCGGCUAACUCCGUGCCAGCAGCCGCGGUAAUACGGAGGGUGCAAGCGUUAAUCGGAAUUACUGGGCGUAAAGCGCACGCAGGCGGUCUGUCAAGUCGGAUGUGAAAUCCCCGGGCUCAACCGGGGAACUGCAUUCGAAACUGGCAGGCUAGAGUCUUGUAGAGGGGGGUAGAAUUCCAGGUGUAGCGGUGAAAUGCGUAGAGAUCUGGAGGAAUACCGGUGGCGAAGGCGGCCCCCUGGACAAAGACUGACGCUCAGGUGCGAAAGCGUGGGGAGCAAACAGGAUUAGAUACCCGUGUAGUC